AAUCAAGGCUGAGGUGUGAUGACGAGGCACUACGGUGCUGAAGUAACAAAUGCCCUGCUUCCAGGAAAAGCCUCUAAGCAUCAGGUAACAUCAAAUCGUACCCCAAACCGACACAGGUGGUCAGGUAGAGAAUACCAAGGCGCUUGAGAGAACUCGGGUGAAGGAACUAGGCAAAAUGGUGCCGUAACUUCGGGAGAAGGCACGCUGGUGUGUAGGUGAAGUCCCUGCGGAUGGAGCUGAGACCAGUCGAAGAUACCAGCUGGCUGCAACUGUUUAUUAAAAACACAGCACUGUGCAAACACGAAAGUGGACGUAUACGGUGUGACGCCUGCCCGGUGCCGGAAGGUUAAUUGAUGGGGUUAUCCGUAAGGAGAAGCUCUUGAUCGAAGCCCCGGUAAACGGCGGCCGUAACUAUAACGGUCCUAAGGUAGCGAAAUUCCUUGUCGGGUAAGUUCCGACCUGCACGAAUGGCGUAAUGAUGGCCAGGCUGUCUCCACCCGAGACUCAGUGAAAUUGAACUCGCUGUGAAGAUGCAGUGUACCCGCGGCAAGACGGAAAGACCCCGUGAACCUUUACUAUAGCUUGACACUGAACAUUGAGCCUUGAUGUGUAGGAUAGGUGGGAGGCUUUGAAGCGUGGACGCCAGUCUGCGUGGAGCCAACCUUGAAAUACCACCCUUUAAUGUUUGAUGUUCUAACGUUGGCCCCUGACCGGGGUUGCGGACAGUGUCUGGUGGGUAGUUUGACUGGGGCGGUCUCCUCCCAAAGCGUAACGGAGGAGCACGAAGGUUAGCUAAUCCUGGUCGGACAUCAGGAGGUUAGUGCAAUGGCAUAAGCUAGCUUGACUGCGAGCGUGACGGCGCGAGCAGGUGCGAAAGCAGGUCAUAGUGAUCCGGUGGUUCUGAAUGGAAGGGCCAUCGCUCAACGGAUAAAAGGUACUCCGGGGAUAACAGGCUGAUACCGCCCAAGAGUUCAUAUCGACGGCGGUGUUUGGCACCUCGAUGUCGGCUCAUCACAUCCUGGGGCUGAAGUAGGUCCCAAGGGUAUGGCUGUUCGCCAUUUAAAGUGGUACGCGAGCUGGGUUUAGAACGUCGUGAGACAGUUCGGUCCCUAUCUGCCGUGGGCGCUGGAGAAUUGAGGGGGGCUGCUCCUAGUACGAGAGGACCGGAGUGGACGCAUCACUGGUGUUCGGGUUGUCAUGCCAAUGGCACUGCCCGGUAGCUAAAUGCGGAAGAGAUAAGUGCUGAAAGCAUCUAAGCACGAAACUUGCCCCGAGAUGAGUUCUCCCUGAGACUUUAAGUCUCCUGAAGGAACGUUGAAGACGACGACGUUGAUAGGCCGGGUGUGUAAGCGCAGCGAUGCGUUGAGCUAACCGGUACUAAUGAACCGUGAGGCUUAACC
Molecule: ribosomal RNA, 1400 nt
Filed under: Klebsiella pneumoniae
Lineage: Bacteria; Pseudomonadati; Pseudomonadota; Gammaproteobacteria; Enterobacterales; Enterobacteriaceae
Description: bacterial LSU rRNA
Rfam family: Bacterial large subunit ribosomal RNA
Source: RNAcentral